RNAcentral lists this ribosomal RNA (498 nucleotides) under uncultured bacterium. Its description in RNAcentral is "partial 16S ribosomal RNA". It matches the Rfam family "Bacterial small subunit ribosomal RNA", at positions 30 to 523 of the family's 1533-position model. The record is from RNAcentral.
AUUGAACGCUGGCGGCAUGCCUUACACAUGCAAGUCGAACGGUAACAGGUCUUCGGAUGCUGACGAGUGGCGAACGGGUGAGUAAUACAUCGGAACGUGCCUAGUAGUGGGGGAUACCUACGCGAAAGAGUGGCUAAUACCGCAUGAGACCUACGGAUGAAAGCAGGGGAUCGCCAGACCUUGUGCUACUUGAGCGGCCGGUGGCAGAUUAGGUAGUUGGUGGGAUAAAAGCUUACCAAGCCGACGAUCUGUAGCUGGUCUGAGAGGACGAUCAGCCACACUGGGACUGAGACACGGCCCAGCCUCCUACGGGAGGCAGCAGUGGGGAAUUUUGGACAAUGGGCGCAAGCCUGAUCCAGCAAUGCCGCGUGCAGGAUGAAGGCCUUCGGGUUGUAAACUGCUUUUGUACGGAACGAAAAGCCCCGGGUUAAUACCCUGGGGUCAUGACGGUACCGUAAGAAUAAGCACCGGCUAACUACGUGCCAGCAGCCGCCGUAA